UCUAUGAAAUAUGACCUAUGUUAAUUACAAUAAUUAAUAUAGUGAAAUAUUCUUCCUUCCUAUUUUUUUUUAUUUUGAACUAUGUUGAAAAGCUGUAGACCACUGAUUGGCCAGCUCAUUCUCCUCAGGAGGAUGACAUCAUCCUCUAUGAUGAAAGCAAUCAUUUUUGAGAUGUAAGUUUGAGGUGGGGUUUUUGAAGUGUAUUUUUCCCCCAAUUUAUGCUUUGGGCACAAAUAAGAGUAUAGGAUGAGUCAACAACAUUAUUUGGGUAUAAUUUAACAGAAUAUUAACUUUUAAAAGUGAGAUUUUCACUGGACGGUUACUUUAAUGUCUGCACCAUUGAGUUGUUUGAAAAAAAGCAGAAGAAAAAAUAACAAAAAAAUACAUUAGGUUAGGCCUAGCUGAGAAUGACAUUUUAUCUACAUUGCAGCUUCAGUUGACAACAUUAAGAAGCUCCUACAACACCUUGAAGAAAAUAACACAAUUUGCAGCUAAAUCACGGUGGUAAUCUGUGGCAGUUCACCAUUCAAUAUUCAUUAAUUUUCAGGGAGUUAUUUAGAUUUUCUGAAUUUGCUUAAACUAAUGUAAAAAACUAAAACUCUUCAAGUGAAAAUUGUAUAGUUGAUGAUGUAUUGAGUUACACUAAUGUUUAUAUGACUCUUCUCCUCUCCUUUUUGAGUGUCUCUGACUCACCUCUGGCCGAAAGGGAGCGAACAGGCUAGAGGCCGGUCGGCAUGGCCGAUUAAUUAGGGCCGAUUUCAAGUUUUCAUAACAAUCGGUAAUCGGCCUUUUUGGACGCCGAUUAUUGCCGAUUACAUUGCAAUCCACGAGGAGACUGCGUGGCAGACUGACCACCUGUUACUCGAGUGCAGCAUCAAAAGGACCUUGUGGCUGCAAGGAGCCAAGGUAAGUUGCUAGCUAGCAUUAAACUUAUCUUAGAAAAAAACAAUCAAUCUUAACAUAAUCACUAGUUAACUACACAUGGUUGAUGAUAUUACUAGGUUAACUAUUUAACUAUUAACUGUAGCUAGCUAGUUCGUAAAAUGAUGUAACGUUGACAGAAUCUACCUGAGAAUGUGUGUAUUUUCAUUAGCUUGGUUAAGUUAUGCUUGCUAGCUAUAUUUGCUAGCUGAAAAUAAUUGUUAUUCAUGUCUCUGUUAUUCAUGUUUCUUCUACACAGUAUCUAACAAAGAUACAUUGACAGGGGAGAUCACCGUGAGGGCUGCCUGUCACAGGUCCAUGAGGAAGAGUGAAAAGCCACACAGCAUGAGAGUAGGGAAAGGCUAUAGAUAGCUACUAGGGACCUUGUUAAACAUCUCCUGUGAGACACUGUCAUCAUGGUCAAAAUGUGUUGGAGACAGUGUCAACGUUUAAUCUUAUCAGUAGAUAGAUAUUGUAAUGAUACUCGUCUGGUGAAGGAGAAGAGGACCAAAAUGCAGCGUGGUACGUGUUCGUCAUAAUUUAAUAGAAAACUGAACACUACACAAAAUAACAACGAGGAGAAAACGAAACAGUUCUGCAAAGUGAACAGACACUACACAGAAAAUAAACACCCACCAACCAAAAUGGGGAAAACAGGCUACCUAAGUAUGAUUCUCAAUCAGAGACAAUGAUCGACAGCUGCCUCUGAUUGAGAACCAUACCAGGCCAAACACAGAAAUACAAUAACAUAGAAAAAAGAACAUAGACUACCCACCCCAACUCACGCCCUGACCAACCUAACACAAAGACAUAAAAAAGGAACGAAGGUCAGAACGUGACAGAUAUUAAUGAUGGGUCCCAAUCCUGAUUUAGAAUUGCCCACUUAACAGGUUAUUUAGUAAAGAUCUGUUGAUGCAGUGUUUGGUAAUUGUGUUACUGAGACACAUUGUAUUCCUGUAUAGUUAAAUGAGCCCCUAGUUAAGAAGACUAGACACUACUAUGUUUAUUGUUAUUUAUGAGCCGCGUCAUUCUUGUUUCUCACUUCAGUCACUUCAGUCUUAUCUUCACAGAUGGUGUUAAAGCACUCAGUACCAGUGAUAGUGGUCCAAAGCCACUGCUCCUGUGUUGCAGGAAGUGCUCUGUGCAAUCAUCUGGUGGCCCUUCUUUACCAGACAGCGCACUACUCUCAACUAAACAUUCCUGCUGCACCACCAGUUCACAGCUGCACAGACUCGUUGGCACAAGCCAAGAACACUUGGUGUGAAACCAGGUCCGGUUGAUGGGAUAGAGUUCUGUAAACCUACUAACUCGUGUGCUGAUGGAAUAAGAAGUUCUCUCUACAAAGCACUCAAUGGAUACAUGUCUGACAUGGACCUUCUCUCCGUAUGCCAACCUUUCUCCACUUCCUGCCCCUCUUGUGACAACAAUGGAAAUGUCAGCUGACGUGCCCCUGGUUGAGUCCGCCUUUGGGCCAGUACAAGCCGGCAGUGUUCUGUCCUAUCAGCUUCCACAGCCAAAGACCCGUGAAAUUGUGAAGAUUGCCAAUGCCACUUCUCCACCAAUACUUCCAUUGGAUGGCUACAGGCUUCAGGCUUCCUAGUGUGCUUACGUCCUUAGCCAUCAGGAGCAGUUCCACCUCAAGGCAUUAGAGACAACCUACGAGAUGUCACACAAAGUCGAGGUUGCUACAAGGGAGCAGAGCAGCAGCCCGGAAUGGCAAGGGAUCUGGUAUGCAGACCAUGGAGAUGAAGAGGGGGCUAGCCAUGGAGCCAGUGGCUGUACAGGAGUACUGCACACUGAAGAAUGUUAACUUCUACAGUAGAAUAGAUUUGUUUAAAAAAAUGUAUUUCAGCAAAUGUUCAACAGUUCAGUUAAUCAAUUACUCAUCUCUAACAUUGUAUUCAAUCUUGCAUUCUGGCUAUUCUGUGUUUACUUGAUUUCUUUCCCCCACCCAUCAGAACAAAGGACAGAUUUUCACCGGACUAAUGUCCAUUGCUUGUGUUUCUUGGCCCAAGCAUUCUCUUCUUCUUAUUGAUGUCCUUUUAGUAGUGGUUUCUUUGCAGCAAUUCGACCAUGAAGGCCUGAUUCACGCACUCUGAACAGUUGAUGUUGAGUUGUUACUCAUUGCCUAAUUAAAGCCAAUACAAGCUCCACACAAACGAUUGAUACAUGUCGUAGAUAAACAAAUUAUUAUUUUGCUGCUA
Molecule: long non-coding RNA, 3125 nt
Organism: Salvelinus fontinalis (brook trout)
Lineage: Eukaryota; Metazoa; Chordata; Actinopteri; Salmoniformes; Salmonidae
Exons: 3
Source: RefSeq, a predicted model, not a curated record